UACAGAGGUAGCAAACGUUGUCCGGAUUCACUGGGCGUAAAGGGAUCGUAGGCGGUCAUUUAAGUCAGGUGUGAAAUCGUUCAGCUCAACUGAACAAUCGCAUUUGAUACUGAAUGGCUUGAGUGCAGAAGGGGAAACUGGAAUUUCCGGUGUAGCGGUGAAAUGCGUAGAUAUCGGAAAGAACACCCGUGGCGAAGGCGGGUUUCUGGUCUGCAACUGACGCUGAGGAUCGAAAGCCAGGGGAGCAAAC
RNAcentral lists this ribosomal RNA (250 nucleotides) under uncultured bacterium. Its description in RNAcentral is "partial 16S ribosomal RNA". It matches the Rfam family "Bacterial small subunit ribosomal RNA", at positions 524 to 773 of the family's 1533-position model. The record is from RNAcentral.